AUUGAACGCUGGCGGCAGGCCUAACACAUGCAAGUCGAGCGGAUGAAGGGAGCUUGCUCCUGGAUUCAGAGGCGGACGGGUGAGUAAUGCAUAGGAAUCUGCCUGGUAGUGGGGGAUAACGUCCGGAAACGGGCGCUAAUACCGCAUAAGUCCUGAGGGAGAAAGAGGGGGAUCUUCGGACCUCAUGCUAUCAGAUGAGCCUAGGCCGGAUUAGCUAGUUGGUGGGGUAAAGGCCUACCAAGGCGACGAUCCGUAACUGGUCUGAGAGGAUGAUCAGUCACACUGGAACUGAGACACGGUCCAGACUCCUACGGGAGGCAGCAGUGGGGAAUAUUGGACAAUGGGCGAAAGCCUGAUCCAGCCAUGCCGCGUGUGUGAAGAAGGUCUUCGGAUUGUAAAGCACUUUAAGUUGGGAGGAAGGGCAGUAAGUUAAUACCUUGCUGUUUUGACGUUACCAACAGAAUAAGCACCGGCUAACUUCGUG
This 484-nucleotide ribosomal RNA is filed under the name uncultured bacterium. RNAcentral's name for it is "partial 16S ribosomal RNA". It matches the Rfam family "Bacterial small subunit ribosomal RNA", at positions 30 to 507 of the family's 1533-position model. The record is from RNAcentral.